This 255-nucleotide ribosomal RNA is filed under the name uncultured bacterium. RNAcentral's name for it is "partial 16S ribosomal RNA". It matches the Rfam family "Bacterial small subunit ribosomal RNA", at positions 167 to 424 of the family's 1533-position model. The record is from RNAcentral.
UACCGCAUACGUCCUACGGGAGAAAGCAGGGGACCUUCGGGCCUUGCGCUAUCAGAUGAGCCUAGGUCGGAUUAGCUAGUUGGUGAGGUAAUGGCUCACCAAGGCUACGAUCCGUAACUGGUCUGAGAGGAUGAUCAGUCACACUGGAACUGAGACACGGUCCAGACUCCUACGGGAGGCAGCAGUGGGGAAUAUUGGACAAUGGGCGAAAGCCUGAUCCAGCAAGGGCGCGUGUGUGAAGAAGGUCUUCGGAUU